CCAAUAGCGUAUAUUAAAGUUGUUGCAGUUAAAAAGCUCGUAGUUGAAUUUCGGAAUCUGUCCAUCGGUCGGGCUUCACUGUCCGUACUGGUGUGGUGGGUUCUUACCUUCUGAAUAACCAGCAUGCCAUUUAUUUGGUGCGUUGGGGAAGCAGGACUAUUACCUUGAAAAAAUUAGAGUGCUCAAAGCAGGCUAGUGCCUGAAUACAUUAGCAUGGAAUAAUAAAAUAGGACGGCAUGGUUCUAUUUUGUUGGUUUCUAGGAUCACCGUAAUGAUUAAUAGGGAUAGUUGGGGGCAUUAGUAUUCAAUUGUCAGAGGUGAAAUUCUUGGAUUUAUUGAAGACUAACUUCUGCGAAAGCAUUUGCCAAGGAUGUUUUCAUUAAUCAAGAACGAAAGUUAGGGGAUCGAAGACGAUCAGAUACCGUCGUAGUCUUAACCAUAAACUAUGCCGACUAGGGAUCGGACGAUGUUAAUUUUUUAAUGACUCGUUCGGCGCCUUACG
This 502-nucleotide ribosomal RNA is filed under the name uncultured Glomeromycotina. RNAcentral's name for it is "partial small subunit ribosomal RNA". It matches the Rfam family "Eukaryotic small subunit ribosomal RNA", at positions 591 to 1092 of the family's 1831-position model. The record is from RNAcentral. Lineage: Eukaryota; Fungi; Glomeromycota.